This 253-nucleotide ribosomal RNA is filed under the name uncultured bacterium. RNAcentral's name for it is "partial 16S ribosomal RNA". It matches the Rfam family "Bacterial small subunit ribosomal RNA", at positions 524 to 776 of the family's 1533-position model. The record is from RNAcentral.
UACGUAGGGUGCGAGCGUUGUCCGGAAUUAUUGGGCGUAAAGGGCUCGUAGGCGGUUUGUCGCGUCGGGAGUGAAAUCCACUGGCUUAACUGGUGGCUUGCUUUCGAUACGGGCAGACUGGAGGUAUGCAGGGGAGAACGGAAUUCCUGGUGUAGCGGUGAAAUGCGCAGAUAUCAGGAAGAAUACCCGUGGCGAAGGCGGCUCUCUGGGACGGUACUGACGCUGAGACGCGAAAGCGUGGGGAGCGAACAGG